AUUGAACGCUUGCGGCAUGCCUUACACAUGCAAGUCGAACGGUAACAGGUUAAGCUGACGAGUGGCGAACGGGUGAGUAAUAUAUCGGAACGUGCCCAGUCGUGGGGGAUAACUGCUCGAAAGAGCAGCUAAUACCGCAUACGACCCGAGUGUGAAAGCGGGGGAUCGCAAGACCUCGCGCGAUUGGAGCGGCCGAUAUCAGAUUAGGUAGUUGGUGGGGUAAGAGCCCACCAACCCAACGACCUGUGGCUGGUCAGAGAGGACGAACACGCACACUGGGACUAAGACACGGCCCAGACUCCUACGGGAGGCAGCAGUGGGGAAUUUUGGACAAUGGGCGCAAGCCUGAUCCAGCCAUGCCGCGUGCGGGAAGAAGGCCUUCGGGUUGUAAACCGCUUUUGUCAGGGAAGAAAAGGUUCUGGUUAAUACCUGGGACUCAUGACGGUACCUGAAGAAUAAGCACCGGCUAACUACGUGCCAGCAGCCGCCGUAA
RNAcentral lists this ribosomal RNA (493 nucleotides) under uncultured bacterium. RNAcentral describes it as "partial 16S ribosomal RNA". It matches the Rfam family "Bacterial small subunit ribosomal RNA", at positions 30 to 523 of the family's 1533-position model. The record is from RNAcentral.